UACGGAGGGUGCAAGCGUUGCUCGGAAUUAUUGGGCGUAAAGCGCACGUAGGCGGUCCAUUAAGUCGGGUGUGAAAGCCCUGGGCUCGACCCAGGAAGUGCACUCGAAACUGACGGGCUUGAAUAUGGAAGAGGGUCGCGGAGUUCCCGGUGUAGAGGUGAAAUUCGUAGAUAUCGGGAGGAACACCAGUGGCGAAGGCGGCGACCUGGGCCAAUAUUGACGCUGAGGUGCGAAAGCGUGGGGAGCAAACAGG
This 253-nucleotide ribosomal RNA is filed under the name uncultured bacterium. RNAcentral's name for it is "partial 16S ribosomal RNA". It matches the Rfam family "Bacterial small subunit ribosomal RNA", at positions 524 to 776 of the family's 1533-position model. The record is from RNAcentral.